UGUCAGGUGGCGCUAUGUAAAGUUACGUCUGGCAAAAUGUGGGGAGAUAGCGUUCUCAUUUUAUUAAUUUCGGUUUUUACAGCUUUAUUAGGAGAAGGUUUGACAUGGCUGAUGGUAUAUCGAACUGAAAAAUAUCAAAAACUCAAAGCAGAAGUUGAAAGGCAAAGCAAACGUUUAGAGAAAAGGAAAGAAGUUCAUGGCGACACUGUCGAUAGGCAACAGAAAAAGAAGAUUG
Centruroides sculpturatus (bark scorpion) is the source of this 235-nucleotide long non-coding RNA. RefSeq lists it as uncharacterized. The record is from RefSeq and is a predicted model, not a curated record. NCBI's taxonomy places the organism in Eukaryota, Metazoa, Arthropoda, Arachnida, Scorpiones, Buthidae. The transcript has 3 exons.